GUGACUGUGUAUUAAGUAACAUGGUUUUAACUAUUCCAAAUAUGAAUAAUUAUUAAAGCAUAUGUGAUCAAUAAUGCAAGAAGAAAGACUGAAAUAUCUUUUUUAUUUUCUCUGUAUAAAAUGAUAUUAUAGGCUGCUGGGGAGGGCAGGAAAGCCGCACCCACCCAGCAAGGGCUCCGUGACUGGGUUCCCAGGACUGUCGAAGGAAGGUAUAACUGGGUGGGAGGGUGGGUAGCUUAUGCUCUCCAAGACUGCCUUUCCAAACUCUUUGACACCUAAGAAAAGGUGAACAAGUUCUAUUUUCAAGAGAAGAUGGCUUUUAACAGUUUUGAAGGAUCUAAAGCUGUGUAUCUGCAGACAUCAAUAAGGACGAAGAAUUUGUAGAAGAGUUUAACGGAUAAAAAACUUUUGCUAGUUUUCCAAGUAGUAGUCCUGUUUCAGCAUCAACACUGGCACAAGUAGGUUUUCUUUAUAUUGGUGAAGGAGACACCAUGUGGUGCUUUAGUGGUCAUGCAGGAGUAGAGAGAAGGCAAUAUGGAGACUCAACAGUUGGCAGACACAAGAAAGUAUCCCAAAUUGCAGAUUACCAACGGCUUUUUUUUUUUUUUUUGAGAUGGAGUCUCACUCUGUUGCCCAGGCUGGAGUGCAGUGGCGCGAUCUCGGCUCACUGCCAGCUCCACCUCCCGGGUUCACGCCAUUCUCCUGCCUCAGCCUCCUGAGUGGCUGGGACUACAGGCACCCACCACCAUGCCCAGCUAACUUUUUGUAUUUUUAGUAGAGACGGAGUUUUACUGUGUUAGCCAGGAUGGUCUCGAUCUCCUGACCUCGUGAUCUGCCCACCUCAGCCUUCCAAAGUGCUGGGAUUACAGGUGUGAGCCACCGCUCCCGGCCGGCAUUUACUUUUAAAAUAGUGACACAAAACCUGCAAAUCCUAGUAUCCAAAAUGGUCAGUACAAAGUUGAAAACUGGGAAACAGUAAUCAAUUUGCCUUAGGCAGGCCAUCUGAGAUUCAUGCAGAUUAUCUUUUGAUAACCGGACAGGCUUAAAUGUAUCAGAUACCAUAUACCCAAGAAACCCAGAAACCCAUCAUGUAUAGUGAGGAAGCUCAACUAUAGUCAUUCCAGAACUGGCCAAACUAUGCCCACUUAACCCCAAGAGAGAGAGUUAGUGCUGAACUCUAAUACACAAGUAUUGAUGACCAAGUGCAGUGCUUUUAUUGUGGUAGAAAACUGAAAAAUUGGGAACCUUAUAGUGCUGGCUGGUGGCAGAAGAACAUAGGCAACACUUUCUUAAUUGCUUCUUUGUUUUCGGCCAGAAUGUUAAUAUUUGAAGUGAAUCUGACAUUGUUGAGUUCUGAUAGGAAUUUCCCCAAUUCAACAAAUCCUCUGAAGAAAUCCAUCCAUGGAGCAUUAUGAAGCACAGAUCAUUACUUUGGGGAUGUGGAUGUACUCAGUUAACAAGCAGCAGCAUGCAGGAGCUGAAUUUUAUGCUUUAGGUAAAGGUGAUAAAGUAAAAUGCUUUUGCUGUGGAAGAAGGCUAACUGAUGGAAACCCAUUGAACACCCCCGGGAACAACAUGCUAAGUGGUAUCCAAGGUGUAAAUAUCUAUUACAGGAGAAGAACAAGAAUAUAUAAGUAAUAUCCAUUUAACCCAUUCACUUGAGGAGUCACUGGUGAGAAGUGCUGAAAAAAAUGUCAUCACUAACUAUAAGAAUGGAUUAUACCAUCUUUCAAAAUCCUAUGUUACAAGAAGCUACACAAAUGGGAUUCAGUUUAAAGAAUAUUGAGAAAAUAAUGGAAGAAAAAAUUCAAACAUCUGGGAGCAACUAUAAGUCACCUGAGGUUCUGGUUGC
RNAcentral lists this long non-coding RNA (1852 nucleotides) under Homo sapiens (human). RNAcentral describes it as "non-protein coding lnc-FZD4-6:1". The record is from RNAcentral. Lineage: Eukaryota; Metazoa; Chordata; Mammalia; Primates; Hominidae.